UAGCUAGUUGGUGAGGUAACGGCCCACCAAGGCGACGAUCGGUAGCCGGACUGAGAGGUUGAACGGCCACAUUGGGACUGAGACACGGCCCAGACUCCUACGGGAGGCAGCAGUGGGGAAUAUUGCACAAUGGGGGAAACCCUGAUGCAGCGACGCCGCGUGGAGGAAGAAGGUCUUCGGAUUGUAAACUCCUGUUGUUGAGGAAGAUAAUGACGGUACUCAACAAGGAAGUGACGGCUAACUACGUGCCAGCAGCCGCGGUAAAACGUAGGUCACAAGCGUUGUCCGGAAUUACUGGGUGUAAAGGGAGCGCAGGCGGGAAGACAAGUUGGAAGUGAAAUCCAUGGGCUCAACCCAUGAACUGCUUUCAAAACUGUUUUUCUUGAGUAGUGCAGAGGUAGGCGGAAUUCCCGGUGUAGCGGUGGAAUGCGUAGAUAUCGGGAGGAACACCAGUGGCGAGGGCGGCCUACUGGGCACCAACUGACGCUGAGGCUCGAAAGUGUGGGUAGCAAACAGGAUUAGAUACCCUGGUAGUCCACACUGUAAACGAUGAUUACUAGGUGUUGGAGGAUUGACCCCUUCAGUGCCGCAGUUAACACAAUAAGUAAUCCACCUGGGGAGUACGACCGCAAGGUUGAAACUCAAAGGAAUUGACGGGGGCCCGCACAAGCAGUGGAGUAUGUGGUUUAAUUCGACGCAACGCGAAGAACCUUACCAAGUCUUGACAUCCUGCGACGCACAUAGAAAUAUGUGUUUCCUUCGGGACGCAGAGACAGGUGGUGCAUGGUUGUCGUCAGCUCGUGUCGUGAGAUGUUGGGUUAAGUCCCGCAACGAGCGCAACCCUUAUGGUCAGUUACUACGCAAGAGGACUCUGGCCAGACUGCCGUUGACAAAACGGAGGAAGGUGGGGAUGACGUCAAAUCAUCAUGCCCUUUAUGACUUGGGCUACACACGUACUACAAUGGCGUUAAACAAAGAGAAGCAAGACCGCGAGGUGGAGCAAAACUCAGAAACAACGUCCCAGUUCGGACUGCAGGCUGCAACUCGCCUGCACGAAGUCGGAAUUGCUAGUAAUCGCAGAUCAGCAUGCUGCGGUGAAUACGUUCCCGGGCCUUGUACACACCGCCCGUCACACCAUGAGAGCCGGGGGGACCCGAAGUCGGUAGUCUAACCGCAAGGAGGACGCCGCCGAAGGUAAAACUGGUGAUUGGGGUGAAGUCGGAACAAGGUAGCCGUUCGAGAUCGAGCGGCUG
This 1253-nucleotide ribosomal RNA is filed under the name metagenome. RNAcentral's name for it is "bacterial SSU rRNA". It matches the Rfam family "Bacterial small subunit ribosomal RNA", at positions 242 to 1520 of the family's 1533-position model. The record is from RNAcentral.